UACGGAGGGUGCAAGCGUUAUCCGGAUUCACUGGGUUUAAAGGGUGCGUAGGUGGGCUAGUAAGUCAGUGGUGAAAUCUCCGGGCUUAACCCGGAAACUGCCAUUGAUACUAUUAGUCUUGAAUGUCGUGGAGGUAAGCGGAAUAUGUCAUGUAGCGGUGAAAUGCUUAGAUAUGACAUAGAACACCGAUAGCGUAGGCAGCUUACUACACGAAUAUUGACACUGAGGCACGAAAGCGUGGGGAGCGAACAGG
RNAcentral lists this ribosomal RNA (253 nucleotides) under uncultured bacterium. RNAcentral's name for it is "partial 16S ribosomal RNA". It matches the Rfam family "Bacterial small subunit ribosomal RNA", at positions 524 to 776 of the family's 1533-position model. The record is from RNAcentral.